ACGCUCGACACCUACGGGAGGCAGCAGUGGGGAAUAUUGCACAAUGGAGGAAACUCUGAUGCAGCGACGCCGCGUGAGGGAAGAAGGUCUUCGGAUUGUAAACCUCUGUUGUCAGGGACGAUGAUGACGGUACCUGACGAGGAAGCCACGGCUAACUACGUGCCAGUAGCCGCGGUAAUCUGAGCGGGCUGGCAAGGC
Molecule: ribosomal RNA, 198 nt
Filed under: uncultured bacterium
Lineage: Bacteria
Description: partial 16S ribosomal RNA
Rfam family: Bacterial small subunit ribosomal RNA
Source: RNAcentral